GUGCUCGCUUCAGCAGCACAAAUACUAAAAUUGGAAAGAUACAGAGAAGAUUAGCACGGCCCCUGUGCAAGGAUGACAGGCAAACUCAUGAAGCGGACCAUAUUUAU
Fukomys damarensis (Damara mole-rat) is the source of this 107-nucleotide small nuclear RNA. NCBI's taxonomy places the organism in Eukaryota, Metazoa, Chordata, Mammalia, Rodentia, Bathyergidae. The record is from Ensembl.